This is a non-coding RNA of Podarcis lilfordi (Lilford's wall lizard), 71 nucleotides long. Lineage: Eukaryota; Metazoa; Chordata; Lepidosauria; Squamata; Lacertidae. The record is from the annotation of a GenBank genome assembly.
GCGAUAGCUCAGUUAGUUAGAAUGUGACGCUGAUAACGCCAAGGUUGCAGGUUCGAUUCCUAUAUGGAACA